Molecule: small nucleolar RNA, 138 nt
Organism: Ornithorhynchus anatinus (platypus)
Lineage: Eukaryota; Metazoa; Chordata; Mammalia; Monotremata; Ornithorhynchidae
Source: RefSeq, a predicted model, not a curated record
CUCCUCUCAGGGUUGCACCUGGAGCGUUCCCAGUACUCUACCAGUCUCGACUACGGGAGGGAGAGUCAAGCAGAGGCAUAUCCAUUCCAUUCCUAGGGUGGGCAGUGGCUAGCAAGUGGAAGGCAAUCUGCUACAAAC